AGAACGAAAAAAGUAAACAUAAUCUGAAAUAUUUAAAUUUUAAAAUAAAAUUAGUUAUUUUAAAUACAUAGCCAGACACCCGUAUAUGGGGUCUUGGUCUGACACAACAACCAAACAUUUUUCCUAUUGUAAUUUACAUUCUUUAUUAUUAGACACAACAAAUCUUCGAAGUCGUCGUGAGAAGAGUUGUAUUCGAUUUUGAAUGAAUGUAUACUACCACAAUCAUUCAACACUCUAGUUUUGUAUCCUAACACUAGAAUCUGACCGGUUUCCAUUGUUUGAGGAUUUGUCGACCAUAUUUUUGGACAGUUGUGAAAAUGAUGACCGUUGACUCCGCAACGGAAACAAACAAAAACACGACAAUAAUAAUCUAUGUUUUUGUAAAAACUACGUUGAAUCUGAUUAAGUCGUUUGAGUCGUUCAUAUCGUUCGACGAUUGCAAGUAGUUGACUCAUUUUUUUACUGAAAAAAAAGAAAUAUUUAUAAUCAACAUAAUAUUACAUUCAAAAUAUUAAAUUAUAUUUUAAUGUAAUACUUUAUAAUUUAAUUACAACAAUCAUCAUUAUCGUCAUCGAAAAUAUCUCUAUUUGGUAUUUUAAGGACUGAACUCCAUUCAGAUUCUACCGGAUCUUGAAUGUAGAAACAUUGUUGAGCCUGAUUUGCCAAAAUAAAAGGUUCCUUUCCAAAUUUCCCCCGUAUCGUGUUCACUGAAACGACACCAAAAUCAUCUACUUUAGUACCUGCUUUUCCAGGAUCGUACCACUUACAUUCAAACAGACAAUAUUUAGUCGUGUGACCGUAGCAAAUUUCGAAAACAUUUUCUAAUAAUCCAUGAUAUUCAAUUUCUGCUACCAACGGAGCAUCAUUUGAAGAUUUAGCAUACGUUGAUGUUGUAGCCGAUAGAAAAAUACCGCUAUUUUGCGUCGAUCUACGAUUUGUCAAUUCUGAUGUCUGAAAUUUUAAUCCAUUCAUAAUGUAACCACUAUAAAUUGAAGCAAAACAACUUGGUCCGCGGGAAAUAGAAUUUAAAUCUGUGUCAGAUUGUUGAGCUUCGGACAUGUGUUUUUUAAACCAUUCGGCAAAUUGUUUGAAGUGUAAAUUUUCCAAACGGAACUGUGUGUGUUUUGGAAACAUAACUUUCAAUUGCUUCAAGUGUUUAUUUCGAUAUGGUUCGACAUUUUCAAGGUCAAACAAUAUACAUUGAUGCAACUGUUUCUGUUGUAAAGUAGUCAACGUUAUAUCAGUCGGUGCAUUUAAAAACCCAUCGAUAUACCUAUCUGGCCGAUUUGAUUUUGUCUCGACAUUUUGUAAAAAUCGAGAACAAAACGUCAUUGACUCUUCAGAAAGAUAACUUUCCGCAAUAGAUCCUUCCAGGUGAUUACGUACGGUCACAUGAUUUUUUAAAGUCAAAAGAUACCUAAAAUGAGAAUAUAUAUUGUAUGAUCAAGACAUAUUAAUUAUAAAUUUAUUUAUAAUUGUAUAAAUAUAUAUACCUCUCUAUCGGAUACAUCCAUCGAUAUUGGACCGGUCCAGCUAUUUUCACUUCGGUUGCUAGAUGGACCGUCAGAUGAACCAUUACAGUAAAAAAACCGGGAGGAAAGAUUUUCUCAAGAUUGCACAAUGUAUAUAUAAUUCUUUUCUCCCAUCGUUCCAUAAGUUUAAUUUCGAUCACCUUCGAAUAAAUAUCGUGGAAAUAUCCGCAAAGUUCAACGAGAACCGAAGUCACUACAGGUUUUGUCGAUUUUCGUAAUGCAAUAGGAAGUAACUGUUGCAUUAUAACGUGACAAUCGUGACUUUUCAAUCCGAUAAAUUUUCUUUCUUUCAUUUUCACGUUUUAGAAAUGUUAGAACAAUAUCCAUCGGGAAGUCGAAGGGAUUUAAACACUGACAGAAAUAAUAUCUUUUCUUUCGUCGUUAAGUUGAAACACGCACUCGGAAUGUCCCAUUCUUCUCCUCGUCGAAUAGGAUGAAGUUCUUUUCGGAUUCCCAUCGAUUGUAAAUCGAACCUCGCGUUCAAAUUAUCUUUCGUUUUACCAUCCAUUUCCAAAAUAGUGGUUACAAUAUUGUCACAUACAUNNNNNNNNNNNNNNNNNNNNNNNNNNNNNNNNNNNNNNNNNNNNNNNNNNNNNNNNNNNNNNNNNNNNNNNNNNNNNNNNNNNNNNNNNNNNNNNNNNNNNNNNNNNNNNNNNNNNNNNNNNNNNNNNNNNNNNNNNNNNNNNNNNNNNNNNNNAUCAAAAGUUACUGAAUCUCGAAAUGGAUAAACUUGACUAUAUAUUUCAGAACCCGUCAAACGUUUAGGGGCGACUCUAGUUUCGAUCUGAUUAUUGAAACUUUUCUUAUCGCUCUUAUAAUAAUGUUUCAUAUCUAGAAAUCGACGAUGUCCCAUAAAACUCACUUUCUUUCCAUGCUCUAAACGAAUACUUUCAGUGUCAUUCUUACAUACUGCACAGACUAACUUUCCUUUAGUGCUCCACCCUGAUAUAUCACCGUAUUCUGGAUAAUCAUGUAUCGUCCACAGAAGUGAUGCAAACAUCUUAAAAGAUUUCUGUGUACGUACAUCAAAAGCUGUAACACCAUCUGCCCAUAAAAUCUUCAGUUCAUCAAUAAACGGUUAAAGAUAGACAUCUAUAUCGUUCCCUAGAGCUGAUGGACCGGAAAUUAGUAGAAACAAUAUGAAAUUCGGUUGCUUCAUACACAUCAUUUCAUGGAAAUCUAAAAAAAUAUUAAAUUAAUUAAUUUAAUAUUUUUUAAACAAAGAAAUAAUUAAUUAAUUAAUCAUUUCAUGGAAAAUUAAUGAUUAUUAUUUCAAUUUAAAAUCAUUUAAUUUAAUAAUUAUUCAUUAUGAUUUCUAUAAUUUCAUGCAAAUUAUAUUCAUUAACAUUUCAAUUUAAUAAUUACUAAUUAAUUAACAAAUUUUUAAUUUCAGGCAAAUUAAUCAUUAACAUUUCAAUUUAAUAAUUACUAAUUAUUUAAAAAAAUAAUAAUUUCAUGCAAAUUUAUCAUUAUUAUUUCAAUUUAAUAAUUAAUUAAAUAAUUUCAAAUUAAAAUGAUCAUAUAUAAUUAUUUCAUGCAAAUAUUUGAUUACUAAAAAAUUAAUAUUUAAUAAUUGUCAAUCAAUUAAUAAAAUACUAAUUAUUCUUAUUUUAUUUGAUAAUUAAAAUGAUAAUUUAAUAAUUUAUUUUAACAACAAAUUAAAUAAUUUGAAAAUAAAUUAAUUAAAUAAAAUUAUAUAAUUUUUACCGCAAAUUCGAUUUUCUUCAAUCCAAAACUUACUUCAAUCUUGAUUUUAAAAAACCUAUAACAAAUCAAAAACACAUUAAAUAUUUUAUAUAAAAUUUAAAUUAUUUAAAAACAAAAAUUAUUUAAAUAUUUUAAUUAUUUAUUAAAUAAUUUAAAAACAUAAAAUAAUUAAAACAAAUUUAUUUCAUGCAAAUAAUUAAUUAAGAUAUAGAUUCAUGUAAAUUAUUAAUUAAAUUGAUAUUUAAUUACAAUUAUUUAAAUAAUUUACAAAUAAGUUGAUUAAAUAAAAAAUUUAAUUAUUUUAAUUUAAAAUAUGAAAUAUGAAAUAAUUAUUUUAAUUAUUUUAAUCCAUGAAAUAAUUUUAAAAUAUUUGAUUAAUUUAAAAUAUGAAAAACUUUAAUUAUUUAAUUAUUUAAUUAUUUAAAAACAGUAUAUCAUUUAAUUAAUUAAAAACAAUAUUUUAAUUAUUUUAAUAACUAAUUAUUUUAAUUUUAAAUUAUUAAAAAACAGUAAUUAAAUAUUUUCUAAUUAUUUCAUUAACAAUUUAAUUAACAAAUUAACAAAUUAACAAAUUAUUUUGAUACAAUUUUAUAAUUAUUAGUUAACAAAUUAUAAUUUCAUGCAAAUUAAUAAUUAUUAAUAUCAUUUCAAAUCAUUAAAAUCAUUUAAUUUAAUAAUUACUAAUUAACACAUUUAUAAUUACAUGCAAAUUAAUUAAUUACAAGUAUAAGAAAAAAUAAUUAAUUUAAUAACUAAAUUUUUAAAUUAUUUAUUUUUUUAUUUAAACAAAUUAUUAAUUAUUUAAUUAUUUAAUUCAUAACAGUAAAUAAUAUAAAGAUUUUCAGUAAUUUUAAAAUUAUUUAUAAAUAGUAAUUUAUUUAUUUAUUUAAAAAAAUAUUAAUUAUUUAAUUAUUUAAAAACAUUAAUUUAUUUAAUAAAAACAGUAAUUAUUAAUCUAAUUAAAUACAUAUUUAUUUAAUUAAAACAGAAUAAUAUAAUAUUUCAUGCAAAUUAAAUAAUAUUUCAUUCAAAUAAUAAAAACAAAAUUAUUUCAUUCAAAUAAUUCAUUAAUAAUUUAUUUCAUGCAUAUUUAUUUCAUUCUUAUUUAUUUCAUGCAAAUUCUUAGUUUCAUGUAAACUUAAUAAUUUAAAUUAAAUAAUUUAAAUAUAUAUGAUUAAAAAUUUAUUUUUAACAUUAUAAUUUAAUAUUUAUUAACAUUUGAUUCAUAUUCAAUAAUUAACAAAUGAGUUUAUAUAUAAUUUAUAUAUCAUCCAAUCCAACACCUCCUCAUCACAACUCCAAUCCAAUGUUGGGUUUUCAAAUCACAUUCAUAUUCAAACAUAUAUAUAUAACCCUAAAAUAAUUCAAACCCAUAAACUUAUUACAACAAUCAAAUAAUCAAACCAAUUACAACAAUCAAAUAAACCCAUUAAUCCUAUUACAGUAAAUAAACGAAAAUUAAAUCAAACCCAAUCAAACCCAAUCAAACCAAUUACAGUAAAUAUACGAAAAUUAAAUCAAACCCAUUAAUCCUAAACACUAAAACACUAAAAAGAAAUCAAACCCAUUACAACAAUCCAAAACACUAAAAAGAAAUUAAAAAAAACGAAAUUAGAAAUAAAAAACCAUCAUUCACAACAAUCAACAAUAAAUAAAAAACUAAAUUAGAAAUAAAAAACCAUUACAACAAUCAAACCCAUUAAAUCAAACCAUCAUUAAGAAAUUAGAAAUCAAAAAAUCAAAUGAAAAACGAAAAAAAUGAAAAAAUUCAAAUCCACAAACCUUCACAGAUCGAACCGAAGAGGGCGACCAGCGGAGGAGGCGUCGGCUACAGGAGGUGAGCGGCGACGAAGAAUCGGCGAUCACGGAGACGUCGAGAUGCGGCGAGGAGACAGGCGGAGACAGCAGCGGCGCGGCGACUUGGGGUUUUCUAAAGACAGAACGCGUCUGUCUGGAUUUGGGGUUUUUAAUAAACCCCAAAGCUUACAUGGCGGAUUUCCGCCAUGUAAGUACACUUAAGUGCCGCCAGCACUAAGGUGAAAGUCCGCCCAAUCGAAAUUUGGGCGGGCUUUUUCCGCCCGAGUCCCCGAAUACUUAACAUGGCGGACAUCCGCCAUGUUAAGUCAAUUUAAUCGGGUAAUCGGGCUGAAAAUUGGGGGGCAUUCGAAAUUUUGGGCGGGAUAGUUUAGAUGGCGGAAAUCCGCCAUCUAAACACCGCCAUCGAAAGUAAUUUCGAACCGCCGUCGAGCCAAAACUUUUCCUCGGCGGACUCAAUGAAUAGAUGGCGGACAUCCGCCAUCUAAACAACUGAAGUAUUGAUGGCGGAAAUCCGCCAUCUAAAG
RNAcentral lists this long non-coding RNA (5581 nucleotides) under Zostera marina. RNAcentral's name for it is "long non-coding RNA (ZMAR_LNC000428)". The record is from RNAcentral. Lineage: Eukaryota; Viridiplantae; Streptophyta; Magnoliopsida; Alismatales; Zosteraceae.